UUGCGGCCAUAUCAAGUUAAGACACCGGUUCUCAUACGAUCGCCGAAGUUAAGCAAUGUCGAUACCGCUCAGUACCUAGCUGGGUGACCACUUGGGAAUAUCAGGGUGCUGUAAG
Molecule: non-coding RNA, 115 nt
Organism: Acanthosepion pharaonis
Lineage: Eukaryota; Metazoa; Mollusca; Cephalopoda; Sepiida; Sepiidae
Source: the annotation of a GenBank genome assembly